RNAcentral lists this ribosomal RNA (500 nucleotides) under uncultured bacterium. RNAcentral describes it as "bacterial SSU rRNA". It matches the Rfam family "Bacterial small subunit ribosomal RNA", at positions 29 to 524 of the family's 1533-position model. The record is from RNAcentral.
AUUGAACGCUGGCGGCGUGCCUAACACAUGCAAGUCGAGCGGUAACAGGUGUAGCAAUACAUGCUGACGAGCGGCGGACGGGUGAGUAACGCUUGGGAAUCUGCCUGUUAGUGGGGGACAACCCGGGGAAACUCGGGCUAAUACCGCAUACGCACUACGGUGGAAAGCCGGGGACCGCAAGGCCUGGCGCUAACAGAUGAGCCCAAGUCGGAUUAGCUAGUUGGUAGGGUAACGGCCUACCAAGGCGACGAUCCGUAACUGGUCUGAGAGGACGACCAGUCACACCGGAACUGAGACACGGUCCGGACUCCUACGGGAGGCAGCAGUGGGGAAUAUUGGACAAUGGGCGAAAGCCUGAUCCAGCGACGCCGCGUGGGUGAAGAAGGCCUGCGGGUUGUAAAGCCCUUUCGGUGGGAAGAAAGCCUCGAGUUAAUACCUCGGGUCUUGACGUAACCCAUAGAAGAAGCACCGGCUAACUCUGUGCCAGCAGCCGCAGUAAC